This 796-nucleotide ribosomal RNA is filed under the name Subramaniula asteroides. RNAcentral describes it as "eukaryotic LSU rRNA". It matches the Rfam family "Eukaryotic large subunit ribosomal RNA", at positions 93 to 922 of the family's 3401-position model. Lineage: Eukaryota; Fungi; Ascomycota; Sordariomycetes; Sordariales; Chaetomiaceae. RNAcentral also lists the same sequence under 2 other names. The record is from RNAcentral.
GUGAAGCGGCAACAGCUCAAAUUUGAAAUCUGGCUUCGGCCCGAGUUGUAAUUUGCAGAGGAAGCUUUAGGCGCGGCACCAUCUGAGUCCCCUGGAACGGGGCGCCAUAGAGGGUGAGAGCCCCGUAUAGAUGGACGCUAAGCCUGUGUAAAGCUCCUUCGACGAGUCGAGUAGUUUGGGAAUGCUGCUCAAAAUGGGAGGUAAAUUUCUUCUAAAGCUAAAUACCGGCCAGAGACCGAUAGCGCACAAGUAGAGUGAUCGAAAGAUGAAAAGCACUUUGAAAAGAGGGUUAAAUAGCACGUGAAAUUGUUGAAAGGGAAGCGCUUGUGACCAGACUUGCGCCGGGCUGAUCAUCCGGUGUUCUCACCGGUGCACUCUGCCCGGCUCAGGCCAGCAUCGGUUCUCGCGGGGGGAUAAAGGCCCUGGGAACGUAGCUCCUCCGGGAGUGUUAUAGCCCAGGGUGUAAUGCCCUCGCGGGGACCGAGGUUCGCGCAUCUGCAAGGAUGCUGGCGUAAUGGUCAUCAGCGACCCGUCUUGAAACACGGACCAAGGAGUCAAGGUUUUGCGCGAGUGUUUGGGUGUAAAACCCGCACGCGUAAUGAAAGUGAACGUAGGUGAGAGCUUCGGCGCAUCAUCGACCGAUCCUGAUGUUUUCGGAUGGAUUUGAGUAGGAGCGUUAAGCCUUGGACCCGAAAGAUGGUGAACUAUGCUUGGAUAGGGUGAAGCCAGAGGAAACUCUGGUGGAGGCUCGCAGCGGUUCUGACGUGCAAAUCGAUCGUCAAAUCUGAGCAUGGGG